GAUCAUGGCUCAGAUUGAACGCUGGCGGCAUGCUUUACACAUGCAAGUCGAACGGCAGCACGGGGGCAACCCUGGUGGCGAGUGGCGAACGGGUGAGUAAUAUAUCGGAACGUACCCGGAAAUGGGGGAUAACGUAGCGAAAGUUACGCUAAUACCGCAUAUGCCCUAAGGGGGAAAGCGGGGGAUUCGCAAGAACCUCGCGUUUCGGAGCGGCCGAUAUCGGAUUAGCUAGUAGGUGAGGUAAAGGCUCACCUAGGCGACGAUCCGUAGCUGGUCUGAGAGGACGACCAGCCACACUGGAACUGAGACACGGUCCAGACUCCUACGGGAGGCAGCAGUGGGGAAUUUUGGACAAUGGGCGCAAGCCUGAUCCAGCCAUGCCGCGUGAGUGAAGAAGGCCUUCGGGUUGUAAAGCUCUUUCAGCCGGAAAGAAAACGCACGGGUUAAUAACCUGUGUGGAUGACGGUACCGGAAGAAGAAGCACCGGCUAACUACGUG
This 498-nucleotide ribosomal RNA is filed under the name uncultured bacterium. RNAcentral describes it as "bacterial SSU rRNA". It matches the Rfam family "Bacterial small subunit ribosomal RNA", at positions 15 to 507 of the family's 1533-position model. The record is from RNAcentral.